ACGGGUGAGUAAUGCCUAGGAAUCUGCCUGGUAGUGGGGGACAACGUUUCGAAAGGAACGCUAAUACCGCAUACGUCCUACGGGAGAAAGCAGGGGACCUUCGGGCCUUGCGCUAUCAGAUGAGCCUAGGUCGGAUUAGCUAGUUGGUGAGGUAAUGGCUCACCAAGGCGACGAUCCGUAACUGGUCUGAGAGGAUGAUCAGUCACACUGGAACUGAGACACGGUCCAGACUCCUACGGGAGGCAGCAGUGGGGAAUAUUGGACAAUGGGCGAAAGCCUGAUCCAGCCAUGCCGCGUGUGUGAAGAAGGUCUUCGGAUUGUAAAGCACUUUAAGUUGGGAGGAAGGGCAGUAAAUUAAUACUUUGCUGUUUUGACGUUACCGACAGAAUAAGCACCGGCUAACUCUGUGCCAGCAGCCGCGGUAAUACAGAGGGUGCAAGCGUUAAUCGGAAUUACUGGGCGUAAAGCGCGCGUAGGUGGUUCGUUAAGUUGGAUGUGAAAUCCCCGGGCUCAACCUGGGAACUGCAUCCAAAACUGGCGAGCUAGAGUAUGGUAGAGGGUGGUGGAAUUUCCUGUGUAGCGGUG
This 585-nucleotide ribosomal RNA is filed under the name Pseudomonas sp. StFRB169. RNAcentral's name for it is "bacterial SSU rRNA". It matches the Rfam family "Bacterial small subunit ribosomal RNA", at positions 102 to 683 of the family's 1533-position model. Lineage: Bacteria; Pseudomonadati; Pseudomonadota; Gammaproteobacteria; Pseudomonadales; Pseudomonadaceae. The record is from RNAcentral. RNAcentral also lists the same sequence under 1 other name.